UGCAGAACACAGUCCCAAACCAAAGU
RNAcentral lists this non-coding RNA (26 nucleotides) under Rattus norvegicus (Norway rat). The record is from RNAcentral. Lineage: Eukaryota; Metazoa; Chordata; Mammalia; Rodentia; Muridae.